CGCGUGAGUAACCUGCCUUUCAGAGGGGGAGUAACGUUCUGAAAAGAAACGCUAAUACCGCAUAACAUCAAUUUAUCGCAUGAUAGGUUGAUCAAAGGAGCAAUCCGCUGGAAGAUGGACUCGCGUCCGAUUAGCCAGUUGGCGGGGUAACGGCCCACCAAAGCGACGAUCGGUAGCCGGACUGAGAGGUUGAACGGCCACAUUGGGACUGAGACACGGCCCAGACUCCUACGGGAGGCAGCAUG
This 245-nucleotide ribosomal RNA is filed under the name uncultured bacterium. RNAcentral's name for it is "partial 16S ribosomal RNA". It matches the Rfam family "Bacterial small subunit ribosomal RNA", at positions 114 to 353 of the family's 1533-position model. The record is from RNAcentral.